Molecule: long non-coding RNA, 2190 nt
Organism: Gopherus evgoodei (Goodes thornscrub tortoise)
Lineage: Eukaryota; Metazoa; Chordata; Testudines; Testudinidae
Exons: 3
Source: RefSeq, a predicted model, not a curated record
GACGCCUCCUCCCGAGUCCUGCUCGCUGCAAAGCCCCCGGGGAAGGAGGAGCGGGAGCCUGGUGCACAGGGAAGGGGGCUGCGCGCUCCCCGGGCUGCUGCAACGACACCCCAGCUGCCCCCAUGCUGCGGUGUGUGCAGCGGGGUGCAUGCUUCAUUGCUGCGUGCAUGUCGGAUGCAUAAUUCAUAAACUGCAGCAAUCCCCCCCCCGGUUUGCAUGGCUGCUAUUUCCGUGCUUAAUUGGAUGAACUAUUCACCCCACCCUUCGCAAGCCCCAGCUUGCUUCAUUUGCGGCAGCGAACUCCCUGUAGGCUAGGUGCAUGCUUUGUGCUUGGAUCCCCCGCCCCGCCCGGGUACUCUGGAAGCUGUGCAAAAUGGGGCGGCGAGGUAUUCACACUUCCUGCGCUCUCUGUAGUGACACUCUCCCCACUUCCUUAUUUGCAGGCUGCGUACGAGGUUGGGGCUUCAUGUACAGGAACAUGGGUGACAGAGGCUGCAGUUUCCCUCAAGCGGCAUUAAAAACUCCUCGGAUCUCGGAUUAGCAAGAAGAGGCCACUCCAGCCACGUGGUGAGCCGGGAGGGUUCAGGUGGUGACAAUAAGGGUGAUGCAGGGCGCUACACAGCCAGUCUAAGCGAGGCAGAUGUGUCACAGCAGACGGGACCCGUAGCCCCAGCUGACCCAGAGAGGAUUAACUGGCCUGGCAAACCCAGUCUGGAAACCGGCACACCUAGACGGAGCAUGGAGCCAGCCAGACUUUGACAAUAGACUGGGAUCUCCUGGCCUGGGGAAACACCCUCAACAAACAGCAGAGGAACACUGGAUCAAUACAGACAAGGUGUCACCUGUCCUUGGAGUCUCUCAGCGAAAAGUGCUUGGUAAGCAUGUUAAUGUAGUCUCACAACAUCCCCUUGGGAAGGUGAGUUGCAUUGGGCUGGCUGGGACGUCACGAAACAGAGACAUUCCGUGAGCUGUGUGGUUAUUAAAGAUCCCAUGAUGCAUCGCAUCAGGGUAGCAGUUGAGCCAAGGCUCAGAUUUUGCAGUGUGUUGUCCACGGGCUGCCUCCUGGCAGGCACGCUCCACCCUAGAGGGGGUGCAUGUCGGUGGUGGGGGACGGGUGGUGUUACUCAGCUUGGCCACAGUCUUAAGGGCCUAAGCACCUUCUGCUCCCUGCUGUGAGCAGCACCGUACAGGAUUGGGCCCGUGGAGUGAGCUGGUUCCGUCACAUUUGUUCCCUUCCACCUAGGGCACAGAGGCCAACUUUGGAGCACGGCAGAGGCACCUCAGCGCGGUGCACCUCACAGGCACCUCAGUGUGCUCUCCCCCACCCAAGCCAGAUGGGAGGCUGGGAAUUCCUAUCACAGGCUGUGGCACAGCCCUUGCCGACACCCCAGCUGGCACCUCCCAGACACGUUCCUGCUCAGGCCCGGAGGUUAGCUGCCAGGAGAGCAGAAGGCAGAGCCCUCAGAGGAGGAGAGCUUUGCACCAGCAAAGGGUGUGAGCAAGUGGUGAGUAUGACACACCAGGCUGGAGGGGCUUCUGAGUCUAGUCUCUCUGCAGGCUGGGAUCCCUCGCCUGCCCUGGAACGAGGACACAGCCCCGUCCCACAGGAGGGAAGGAGCUCGAAGGUGUAAAACAGCACCUGUGCUGAUGGGGUUCGGGGAAUGACGAUGGCCCUUGGCCCUUCUCCAGCACCAUCCUUCCACGGCUCUCAGAGCGUCGCACCAACAAGAAUGAAUCAGCCCCAGGGCUGGGUCAUAGUGAUGGCCCCAUUCGACAUGGGGCCACCUGAGCCCAGAGAGGGGAUGUGACUUACAUGAAGUCACCUCACGAGUCAGUAGCGGAGCCAGGAACAGAACCCAGGAGUCCGGACGCCCGUGGCUUAAAAUGGUCCAAAAAAAGUCGGGGGGGGGGAAGAAUCAUUGUCUACGGGAAGGGAAGUGACAUUAAGUCAGAGAUGCCCAAUAACUGCAAAUAACGGCACUUAGACGUGUCAGCUCUUCCUUUGGAGCCCAAGGACUGAGGGGGCUCAGCGCCCACCUUUGGGGCCAGGAUUUUGGGUGAGCCGGCAGCUCCUGUGGCAUCACUUAGGGCCUCCUCUUUGAAAAGCCUGGCCCAGGCCUCAGCAGACAAGAGUCCCUCCAUGUUUGAACUUUAAUCGACCUAAAAGGCCAGGUGUAACAGCCGUUAUCA